GGUUCUCAACCCUGGCUGCACAUUAGGAUCACCUGGGGAGCUUUUAAAAAAACUCUGAUGCCUGGGCUUCACCUCAGACCAAUUCAGUCACGGUCGAUGCGGGUGGAUGUCAGUGUGCUGUGAAACUCCCCAGGUGCUUCUCAUGUGCAGCCAGGGCUGAGCACUCUGCUGCUUUCCCCCCUCUCUGUCAGAAAAUGAGCAUGGGGGAAACAGAGCCGACUUGUGUGGACAGGGUGCACGGACCACUAAUAGAAUUUUGACGUUGUGGCUCCUUAAAUAGCCUCCCAAUUGGUAUGCACAUAUUAGAAGCUCACGCGGAGGCGAAGGCCGAGGUGCAUGCAGCUGCCGCCUGGACGUGCGUCCAGUCCAUGUUGACGUUUGAAGAGUCACAGAGUGUGGCCUGGGUUACUUCAUCUAUAAGAGGAAGGACACAGUGAUCUCUGCAGGGACUCCAACCACUUCCCCCGCUUAUGGGCCUGGGCUUUGGACAACACAAGAGGUCCAAUCUAAGAGGCAGAGCCUGGGCUGAAGCCCUGAGCCUGAGCUCCCCAGCCCUGCACUGCCCUGUGGGUGGCAGUGAAGACUUCACUACUCCCAUCUCUAAACUCCAGGUAGCUCUCCAUCACUUGGUCAUCUCAGAGAUAACCGCCUACAAACAAGCCAACUUUGAUAUGCAAAAAUAUAAAACUGACAAUGACCACAGAAACAUAGCAAUCCAUAAACCUUGUGAGCUAUACAAUCCAGAUGUGAAAAUGAUGUUUAACCAAUGAUGCUUGUUUCACUAAAAUGACCAAAUUUUGUAUCAUGUUGGCAUGAAUACUAUAUGCUUGAAAUCCUCCUUGUAUGAAGAGAAACUUCUUAGAAAAUUUAAUGCUUUCUAUUUUAGUUCAUGAAUAUUGUCUUACUUUUUAAGUUUUCUUUCUGAUAAUGAUUUUUUACUACUUCUUAUAUCUGGUCUCUUUCAAAUUCUGUGUAAUUUUACCACCUCAAGGCUUUUGUUUCAUUUAACUCUUAUCCUCAUCCUUGACUUUAUGCUACAUGCGUGUCUCUGCUUCUUUAAAAGGUAAAUCAUGUAAUUACAGCCUGUUAACAGUAACUUUCUACUUACUCUUCAAAAUAAGUUUACUCUCUGCUUAGGAGUAAGUAAAAGUAAAUAUCAGUGUCCAGUGUCAGCCUGUUUGAGAAUAUAAAUAAAAAAUUCUCAUAAACAUGAAUGGACAAAAGGGAAAUACAAUGGAGGCUUUCACUCCCUUGGAAACUAACCAGCCAACAACCAUGUGGUGUAAUUGAACCUGGCCGUGGAGCAAGGUGCUUGUGGAAGUUUGAGGAAUAGUCUCAUUUCCUUCCUUCCUCCCUCCCUCCCUCCCUCCCUCUCACUCUUCUUCCCUUCCUCUCUUCCUUCCUUCCUCCUUUUUUUCCUCCCUCCCUUCAUUUUUUCCUUCCUUCCUUCCUCCCUCCUUUCUCCUCUCCCCUCCAUUUCUCUCUCUCUCCUUCUGCUUCUUUUAUGUUGAGUGGCUCAAUCAUGGCAAUAUAUGACCGUUGAUAUGUAAGAAAGCAUUACUUUCCUCCACACUUUAGACUGUGGUCCCACUCAGAAGGAGCCCUGAAAUAUGGGGAAAGUAAAUACUAUUAGCCUUUAUAACAUCUCAAACCAUAGGACAAAAGGAGUUUUGUCAUCUCUGCCCAGACCUGAAACCCAAAGAGGGUCCUACUGUGUCACAACUCUCAAGAUAUUAAGAAAUAUUAAAUAACUAGAGGGGCCUGAAAACAAAGGUCCACUCAGUGGAUAAUCUUCUUUUAUAUUAACAAUCAUUUUUAAGUAGCUGGGGUCAAAGAUGACAGCUGAGAUGGUCCAGAACUGCUUCCUUCUUCUGACACAAAAGUCACAAUGAUGCAGGGGUUUAGGGGAGGGAACUCAGAGAAGGCUCUGACGAAUGGCCGGCACAGCCCUGUGCUUCCCAAAGCGGGGCAAGGAGGAGUCAUGGAGGACAAGAGCUGGCCAAGGAGAUAGGUGAUGAGAAGACUAGAAUAAGAAUAGGAGAGCUGUUGGUAUGGUCCUUGGUGAUGUGUGCCCUUCCUUCUACAUGACCUGGCUCUCUGGCUCAGGGUGACACUUUAUCCCUUAAAUUUCCUCCACCAUCCUUAUUUGUUUCUCUUUACAUGAGACACAGGUAUUAAAAUACAGCCAGAAAAAAACCGUAUUUCAUCUGAUUAAAGGUUGGGACCUCAUACAUUAGAAUUUAAAGCCUCAACUAUAUAAAUUAUUUAAAAUAUCAAC
Equus asinus (donkey) is the source of this 2278-nucleotide long non-coding RNA. Lineage: Eukaryota; Metazoa; Chordata; Mammalia; Perissodactyla; Equidae. The record is from Ensembl.